Molecule: ribosomal RNA, 1472 nt
Filed under: uncultured Bordetella sp.
Lineage: Bacteria; Pseudomonadati; Pseudomonadota; Betaproteobacteria; Burkholderiales; Alcaligenaceae
Description: partial 16S-23S ribosomal RNA intergenic spacer
Rfam family: Bacterial small subunit ribosomal RNA
Source: RNAcentral
GGUUUGAUUCUGGCUCAGAUUGAACGCUGGCGGGAUGCUUUACACAUGCAAGUCGAACGGCAGCACGGACUUCGGUCUGGUGGCGAGUGGCGAACGGGUGAGUAAUGUAUCGGAACGUGCCUAGUAGCGGGGAUAACUACGCGAAAGCGUAGCUAAUACCGCAUACGCCCUUCGGGGGAAAGCGGGGGACCUUCGGGCCUCGCACUAUUAGGAGCGGCCGAUAUCGGAUUAGCUAGUUGGUGGGGUAACGGCUCACCAAGGCGACGAUCCGUAGCUGGUUUGAGAGGACGACCAGCCACACUGGGACUGGAGACACGGCCCAGACUCCUACGGGAGGCAGCAGUGGGGAAUUUUGACAAUGGGUUCCGAUCCAGCCAUCCCGCGUGCGAUGAAGGCCUUUCGGGCGUAAAGCACUUGCAGGAAAGAAACGGCACGGGAUAAUACCCUGCAACCGACGGUACUCGCAGAAUAAGCACCGGCUACUACGUGCCAGCAGCCGCGGUAAUACGCAGGGUGCAAGCGUUAAUCGGAAUUACUGGGCGUAAAAGCGUGCGCAGGCGGUUCGGAAAGAAAGAUGUGAAAUCCCAGGAGCUUAACUUUGGAACUGCAUUUUUAACUACCGAGCUAGAGUGUGUCAGAGGGAGGUGGAAUUCCGCGUGUAGCAGUGAAAUGCGUAGAUAUGCGGAGGAACACCGAUGGCGAAGGCAGCCUCCUGGGAUAACAUCACUGACGCUCAUGCACGAAAGCGUGGGGAGCAAACAGGCUAGAUACCCUGGUAGUCCACGCCCUAAACGAUGUCAACUAGCUGUUGGGGCCUUCGCCCGGUAGCGCAGCUAACGCGCGAAGUUGACCGCCUGGGGAGUACGGUCGCAAGAUUAAAACUCAAAGGAAUUGACGGGGACCCGCACAAGCGGUGGAUGAUGUGGAUUAAUUCGGAUGCAACGCGAAAACCUUACCCACCCUUGACAUGUCUGGAAUCCCGAAGAGAUUUGGGAGUGCUCGCAAGAGAACCGGAACACAGGUGCUGCAUGGCUGUCGUCAGCUCGUGUCGUGAGAUGUUGGGUUAAGUCUCGCAACGAGCGCAACCCUUGUCAUUAGUUGCUACGAAAGGGCACUCUAAUGAGACUGCCGGUGACAAACCGGAGGAAGGUGGGGAUGACGUCAAGUCCUCAUGGCCCUGCGGCAGGGCUUCACACGUCAUACAAUGGUCGGGACAGAGGGUCGCCAACCCGCGAGGGGGAGCCAAUCCCAGAAACCCGAUCGUAGUCCGGAUCGCAGUCUGCAACUCGACUGCGUGAAGUCGGAAUCGCUAGUAAUCGCGGAUCAGCAUGUCGCGGUGAAUACGUUCCCGGGUCUUGUACACACCGCCCGUCACACCAUGGGAGGGUUUUACCAGAAGUAGUUAGCCUAACCGUAAGGAGGCGAUUACCACAGUGAGAUCUUAUGACUGGGGUGAAGUCGUAACAAGGUAG